AUAGGAAAAAUUUAGAAAUUAAUGAGACACCGAUAUAAGCUGAUUGAAAUGCGGCGCGAAAGGGGAGGGACUUAUAUCAGAAAUAACCCAUUUGAAUCACAAAGGCGCGAGUUUGGGUUCUGGAACGGGUCGACGCGCGGAUCCCCUCCCCCCUAAACGACAUCGUUUUCUUUUGUUAUCAAAACUAAAAAAAUGAAUGGUAAUCUGCUAUUCUCUUCAGCAAUUGAAUCAAAACCCUAAUCCCUCAUGUUUUUCCUCGCUUGGCCGACAAAAGGACCAAAACCUUAGCCAUUUUGAUUCUCAUCGGAUCUAACCGAAAAACUCACACUCAUCACCAUGACACCACUGUAUUUGAUGAUUGGCGAUGAAUAUAUGCCCCUCUUUUACACCGUUUGAAACCACAACUCGUGGAUUACCGAUUUUAACUUUGAAAUCCCAUAUCAAGCUCCGAUCGCGACGAAGGAGAUAGGGACUCCGACGGUGUAUUUACGAUGGUACGGAGCCCCAUUGGAGCGGUGGUACGUGGCGCUUGACGUGGGAUGUACGGGGGCUGUGUGCUGGAGGCUGUUGAAGCGUUGGAGGCUAAGGGCUGCGGCGCUAGGAAACCUUAGGUUUCCGUUUGGCUGAACCUAUGUCUAGGUUUUGGGCCAUUGGGCCUUUUAGGCAUUGGGUUAUUUGAUUGGGCUAGGUUGUUUUGUAAAUGGGCUUGUAACUGGGCUAUUGGGUCUGAUAUGUAAUGGACUGAUAAUUAGAUUUUUUAUUAUUUGGUUUUUUAUUUAUAUUUUGUAUUUUGGUUCUUCUUUGGGCCUGGGCAAAAUGGCCCAUUACAAUUAUUAUUUAAUUGUAUUCUAAAAUAAAUGACAUCAAUUUAAACUGAAAGAA
This is a long non-coding RNA of Gossypium arboreum, 882 nucleotides long. RefSeq lists it as uncharacterized. The record is from RefSeq and is a predicted model, not a curated record. The transcript has 2 exons. NCBI's taxonomy places the organism in Eukaryota, Viridiplantae, Streptophyta, Magnoliopsida, Malvales, Malvaceae.